UACGGGGGGGGCAAGCGUUGUUCGGAAUUACUGGGCGUAAAGGGCUCGUAGGUGGCCAACUAAGUCAGACGUGAAAUCCCUCGGCUUAACCGGGGAACUGCGUCUGAUACUGGAUGGCUUGAGUUUGGGAGAGGGAUGCGGAAUUCCAGGUGUAGCGGUGAAAUGCGUAGAUAUCUGGAGGAACACCGGUGGCGAAGGCGGCAUCCUGGACCAUUACUGACACUGAAAAGCGAAAGCCAGGGGAGCAAACGGG
This 253-nucleotide ribosomal RNA is filed under the name uncultured bacterium. Its description in RNAcentral is "partial 16S ribosomal RNA". It matches the Rfam family "Bacterial small subunit ribosomal RNA", at positions 524 to 776 of the family's 1533-position model. The record is from RNAcentral.